This 493-nucleotide long non-coding RNA is filed under the name Elaeis guineensis (African oil palm). RNAcentral describes it as "long non-coding RNA (EGUI_LNC045343)". Lineage: Eukaryota; Viridiplantae; Streptophyta; Magnoliopsida; Arecales; Arecaceae. The record is from RNAcentral.
CGUCACCUCCGACCUAUGUCAGCCCGUGGACCCCUCAGACAGCUCGUGGGCCAUACCAUCUACUCCUGACCUUCUCUCGCACGUAUCUCCUUCGUCUGGACUCCGUUUGGACUGUUCUUAUGUUCGUUGAAUUUCGUUCGUCAUCUUAGAUCUCGUUCUUGAUUUAUUAUGGACCGAAUCUCAAUAUAUUUUUCUCAAUAGGUUAAGUAUAAAACUAUAUCCUAAAAAGAACAAAUGUAUCGAUCUAAUUGACUUCUAGGGCAUACAUCUAACACUUUCUACUUUUCUAUUUUUCAAUAUCUGUUCUCAAGAUCCCAGCUGACUUAAGCAUCAGAGAGUUCUAAAUCGAAAGAUACCCCACUGGUUUUAGAACUUCUUUUGCAUGGUUACUUACGGACUUCAUCUACUUGAUCCUCUUCAGCACUCUAGCUCGAUUCUUGACCGACCUUUUUGGAGCCUUGCAGCAACAAGUAGCAUAAUCAAAAUAUGGAUG